Molecule: ribosomal RNA, 756 nt
Filed under: uncultured bacterium
Lineage: Bacteria
Description: bacterial SSU rRNA
Rfam family: Bacterial small subunit ribosomal RNA
Source: RNAcentral
GAUGAACGCUAGCUACAGGCUUAACACAUGCAAGUCGAGGGGCAGCAUUUUUCUAGCAAUAGAAGAGAUGGCGACCGGCGCACGGGUGAGUAACACGUAUCCAACCUACCGAUAACUCCGGAAUAGCCUUUCGAAAGAAAGAUUAAUACCGGAUAGUAUACGAAUAUCGCAUGAUAUUUUUAUUAAAGAAUUUCGGUUAUCGAUGGGGAUGCGUUCCAUUAGUUUGUUGGCGGGGUAACGGCCCACCAAGACUACGAUGGAUAGGGGUUCUGAGAGGAAGGUCCCCCACAUUGGAACUGAGACACGGUCCAAACUCCUACGGGAGGCAGCAGUGAGGAAUAUUGGUCAAUGGGCGCAGGCCUGAACCAGCCAAGUAGCGUGAAGGAUGAAGGCUCUAUGGGUCGUAAACUUCUUUUAUAUGGGAAUAAAGUUUUCCACGUGUGGAAUUUUGUAUGUACCAUAUGAAUAAGGAUCGGCUAACUCCGUGCCAGCAGCCGCGGUAAUACGGAGGAUCCGAGCGUUAUCCGGAUUUAUUGGGUUUAAAGGGAGCGUAGGUGGAUUGUUAAGUCAGUUGUGAAAGUUUGCGGCUCAACCGUAAAAUUGCAGUUGAAACUGGCAGUCUUGAGUACAGUAGAGGUGGGCGGAAUUCGUGGUGUAGCGGUGAAAUGCUUAGAUAUCACGAAGAACUCCGAUUGCGAAGGCAGCUCACUAGACUGUCACUGACACUGAUGCUCGAAAGUGUGGGUAUCAAACAGG